Molecule: non-coding RNA, 81 nt
Organism: Didymella keratinophila
Lineage: Eukaryota; Fungi; Ascomycota; Dothideomycetes; Pleosporales; Didymellaceae
Source: the annotation of a GenBank genome assembly
GCUUCGAUAGCUCAGUGGUAGAGCGUGGGAUUGCAGUUUGCAAUCAUCCUAAGGUCACCGGUUCGACCCCGGUUCGGAGCU